UGCUGAUACUGAUUUGAGCACUUAGUGCAUGC
Molecule: non-coding RNA, 32 nt
Filed under: Rattus norvegicus (Norway rat)
Lineage: Eukaryota; Metazoa; Chordata; Mammalia; Rodentia; Muridae
Source: RNAcentral